This 253-nucleotide ribosomal RNA is filed under the name uncultured bacterium. RNAcentral describes it as "partial 16S ribosomal RNA". It matches the Rfam family "Bacterial small subunit ribosomal RNA", at positions 524 to 776 of the family's 1533-position model. The record is from RNAcentral.
UACAGAGGUCUCAAGCGUUGUUCGGAUUCAUUGGGCGUAAAGGGCGCGUAGGCGGUCAGAUAAGUCAGCUGUGAAAACCUCGGGCUUAACCCGAGGCCUGCAGUUGAAACUGUUUGGCUGGAGUGUGGGAGAGGAGAGUGGAAUUCCCGGUGUAGCGGUGAAAUGCGUAGAUAUCAGGAGGAACACCAAUGGCGAAGGCAGCUCGCUGGGACGGUACUGACGCUGAGGCGCGAAAGCGUGGGGAGCAAACAGG